RNAcentral lists this long non-coding RNA (1178 nucleotides) under Pogona vitticeps (central bearded dragon). RNAcentral's name for it is "lncRNA (ENSPVIG00000006777.1)". The record is from RNAcentral. Lineage: Eukaryota; Metazoa; Chordata; Lepidosauria; Squamata; Agamidae.
UUUUUGCCUGAUGCAUGACUAGGGAAUGGCGUUUUACACCUUCUCAUGAGAGGUGGGUCUAAUUAGACAAAGCACUGUGGACUAGUCAAAAAACUCCCAACGGAGGUUGUAAACUCUUAUCUUCCUAUAUUGUGCCACUAACAGUUCAAUGAACCCAUGUUUGCCUGAUGCCCUCCUGAGAACGAGGGUGCGGCUGUUGGUUCUCUGCUUAUCUGCAGUACAAAAGCCAAGUCUCCUCCCAUCUACAAUCUGUUUCUGUUUGGCACCGUGUGUAUAUAAAUAAGGACGGUACUGUGGGUAAACGGCAGGUGCAGCACAAGCUUCUUUCAGAGACAGUUUGCAGCCCGGUUAGAACCAUGAGGUUUUUGAAACUCCUUAGCUUGGUCUUCAUCCUGAUUCUCUGCCUUGAGACCUUUACAACUGAAAGUGCAGGGAUUGCCAGACAUUCCAAGAAGCUUUUCUGUAGAUCUUGCAACAGAAACGAGAUGCCAAGGAAUAAAUAUCAUCCUGGACCAUUACCUCAAGUCUGAAGAAAAGAUGUAUAGACUUGGAUCUCCUUACAGAGUUUGGAAUCCACCCCUUCCCACCCUGCUUUUCACAGUUUUCCUCCAGACACAUCUAUUCAAUUGUUGAAUAUUCAUAAAUUGUACUGACAUUUGAGCUUUCUAAGAAGGUUCCAAACACCCCAUUGGUUGUUCACCAGCAUUCAUCUUCUGAAUAUAUCUGUUGUAUAUGUUGACACACAUCUAUCCCCAUGUGCAGUUCAGCUAAGUUCUGCACUGCACAACCUAGCCUUUCAGGAGAAAGCGGCAGAGGAAAGUCCUUCUUUAAAAGGAAUGAAUGUUGCAACAUGUUCCAGGGAUGUAUACUGAAGCAUUAGGAGGAGGAUACUCUUGAGUCGCAGACUCCUGCAGCCACACUCCAACAGAGGCAUAUAGUCUCCUGAAAACAAGAUUGACACUCUCAGCUGGAAUGUCUUAAGGUGAGAGUGCACAACUUUGAUGGGCUUGAGGUUCAAUUUUGACCUCUUCACCUGGGCUGGGACCCACAGUUAGCCGCUCCUUCUACAAAAUGUUGAGAAGAAAUGUUCCUCUCCCCUGCCCAACCAAACCAAAAGGCACUGGGAGUUCACUUCCAAUUUUUUACUCCCUCCCCUUCCUUUUGUUCAUGUUAUUGUG